UGAUGCAGCCAUGCCGCGUGUGUGAAGAAGGCCUUCGGGUUGUAAAGCACUUUCAGUCGUGAGGAAGGUGGUGUAGUUAAUAGCUGCAUUAUUUGACGUUAGCGACAGAAGAAGCACCGGCUAACUCCGUGCCAGCAGCCGCGGUAAUACGGAGGGUGCGAGCGUUAAUCGGAAUUACUGGGCGUAAAGCGCAUGCAGGUGGUUUGUUAAGUCAGAUGUGAAAGCCCGGGGCUCAACCUCGGAAUUGCAUUUGAAACUGGCAGACUAGAGUACUGUAGAGGGGGGUAGAAUUUCAGGUGUAGCGGUGAAAUGCGUAGAGAUCUGAAGGAAUACCGGUGGCGAAGGCGGCCCCCUGGACAGAUACUGACACUCAGAUGCGAAAGCGUGGGGAGCAAACAGGAUUAGAUACCCUGGUAGUCCACGCCGUAAACGAUGUCUACUUGGAGGUUGUGGCCUUGAGCCGUGGCUUUCGGAGCUAACGCGUUAAGUAGACCGCCUGGGGAGUACGGUCGCAAGAUUAAAACUCAAAUGAAUUGACGGGGGCCCGCACAAGCGGUGGAGCAUGUGGUUUAAUUCGAUGCAACGCGAAGAACCUUACCUACUCUUGACAUCCAGAGAACUUUCCAGAGAUGGAUUGGUGCCUUCGGGAACUCUGAGACAGGUGCUGCAUGGCUGUCGUCAGCUCGUGUUGUGAAAUGUUGGGUUAAGUCCCGCAACGAGCGCAACCCUUAUCCUUGUUUGCCAGCGAGUAAUGUCGGGAACUCCAGGGAGACUGCCGGUGAUAAACCGGAGGAAGGUGGGGACGACGUCAAGUCAUCAUGGCCCUUACGAGUAGGGCUACACACGUGCUACAAUGGCGCAUACAGAGGGCGGCCAACUUGCGAAAGUGAGCGAAUCCCAAAAAGUGCGUCGUAGUCCGGAUUGGAGUCUGCAACUCGACUCCAUGAAGUCGGAAUCGCUAGUAAUCGUGGAUCAGAAUGCCACGGUGAAUACGUUCCCGGGCCUUGUACACACCGCCCGUCACACCAUGGGGAGUGGGCUGCAAAAGAAGUAGGUAGUUUAACCUUCGGGGGGACGCUUACCACUUUGUGGUUCAUGACUGGGGUGAUCGU
RNAcentral lists this ribosomal RNA (1112 nucleotides) under Vibrio sp. 832. Its description in RNAcentral is "bacterial SSU rRNA". It matches the Rfam family "Bacterial small subunit ribosomal RNA", at positions 384 to 1489 of the family's 1533-position model. Lineage: Bacteria; Pseudomonadati; Pseudomonadota; Gammaproteobacteria; Vibrionales; Vibrionaceae. The record is from RNAcentral.